GACGUAGGGCGCGAGCGUUUGUCCGGAUUUAUUGGGCGUAAAGAGCUCGUAGGCGGCUCGUUGCGUCGGCUGUGAAAACCCGCAGCUCAACUGUGGGCUUGCAGCUGAUACGGGCGGGCUGGAGUUCGGUAGGGGAGACUGGAAUUCCUGGUGUAGCGGUGAAAUGCGCAGAUAUCAGGAGGAACACCGGUGGCGAAGGCGGGUCUCUGGGCCGAUACUGACGUGAGGAGCGAAAGCGUGGGGGAGCGAACAGG
RNAcentral lists this ribosomal RNA (254 nucleotides) under uncultured bacterium. RNAcentral describes it as "partial 16S ribosomal RNA". It matches the Rfam family "Bacterial small subunit ribosomal RNA", at positions 524 to 776 of the family's 1533-position model. The record is from RNAcentral.